Molecule: microRNA precursor, 93 nt
Filed under: Marmota monax (woodchuck)
Lineage: Eukaryota; Metazoa; Chordata; Mammalia; Rodentia; Sciuridae
Source: RNAcentral
GUAUAAAUCCCCUGGGAUCUUGUUGAAAGGGUUAUGAGUCUGAGAAGGGGCCUGAGGUUCUGCAUUUCAAACAAGCUCUCGAGUGAUGCCAGU